This 1495-nucleotide ribosomal RNA is filed under the name uncultured bacterium. RNAcentral's name for it is "bacterial SSU rRNA". It matches the Rfam family "Bacterial small subunit ribosomal RNA". The record is from RNAcentral.
AGAGUUUGAUCCUGGCUCAGAUUGAACGCUGGCGGCAUGCUUUACACAUGCAAGUCGAACGGUAACAGGCCGCAAGGUGCUGACGAGUGGCGAACGGGUGAGUAAUGCAUCGGAACGUGCCCAGUCGUGGGGGAUAACGCAGCGAAAGCUGCGCUAAUACCGCAUACGAUCUAUGGAUGAAAGCGGGGGACCUUCGGGCCUCGCGCGAUUGGAGCGGCCGAUGUCAGAUUAGGUAGUUGGUGGGGUAAAGGCUCACCAAGCCGACGAUCUGUAGCUGGUCUGAGAGGACGACCAGCCACACUGGGACUGAGACACGGCCCAGACUCCUACGGGAGGCAGCAGUGGGGAAUUUUGGACAAUGGGGGCAACCCUGAUCCAGCCAUUCCGCGUGAGUGAAGAAGGCCUUCGGGUUGUAAAGCUCUUUCAGCUGGAGUGAAACGGUGCGCUCUAACAUAGCGUGCUAAUGACGGUACCAGCAGAAGAAGCACCGGCUAACUACGUGCCAGCAGCCGCGGUAAUACGUAGGGUGCGAGCGUUAAUCGGAAUUACUGGGCGUAAAGCGUGCGCAGGCGGAUUGUUAAGCAAGAUGUGAAAUCCCCGGGCUUAACCUGGGAAUGGCAUUUUGAACUGGCAGUCUAGAGUGCGUCAGAGGGGGGUGGAAUUCCACGUGUAGCAGUGAAAUGCGUAGAGAUGUGGAGGAACACCGAUGGCGAAGGCAGCCCCCUGGGAUGACACUGACGCUCAUGUACGAAAGCGUGGGUAGCAAACAGGAUUAGAUACCCUGGUAGUCCACGCCCCUAAACGAUGUCAACUGGUUGUUUGGGGGAGUGAAAUCCCUUAGUAACGAAGCUAACGCGUGAAGUUGACCGCCUGGGGAGUACGGUCGCAAGAUUAAAACUCAAAGGAAUUGACGGGGACCCGCACAAGCGGUGGAUGAUGUGGAUUAAUUCGAUGCAACGCGAAAAACCUUACCUACCCUUGACAUGUCCGGAAUCCUGCAGAGAUGCGGGAGUGCCCGAAAGGGAAUCGGAACACAGGUGCUGCAUGGCUGUCGUCAGCUCGUGUCGUGAGAUGUUGGGUUAAGUCCCGCAACGAGCGCAACCCUUAUCAUUAGUUGCUACGCAAGGGCACUCUAAUGAGACUGCCGGUGACAAACCGGAGGAAGGUGGGGAUGACGUCAAGUCCUCAUGGCCCUUAUGGGUAGGGCUUCACACGUCAUACAAUGGUCGGUACAGAGGGUUGCCAAGCCGCGAGGUGGAGCCAAUCCCAGAAAGCCGAUCGUAGUCCGGAUUGUUCUCUGCAACUCGAGAGCAUGAAGUCGGAAUCGCUAGUAAUCGCGGAUCAGCAUGUCGCGGUGAAUACGUUCCCGGGUCUUGUACACACCGCCCGUCACACCAUGGGAGUGGAAUCUGCCAGAAGUAGGUAGCCUAACCGCAAGGAGGGCGCUUACCANCGGUGGGUUUCAUGACUGGGGUGAAGUCGUAANCAAGGUACC